Molecule: ribosomal RNA, 253 nt
Filed under: uncultured bacterium
Lineage: Bacteria
Description: partial 16S ribosomal RNA
Rfam family: Bacterial small subunit ribosomal RNA
Source: RNAcentral
UACGAAGGGGGCUAGCGUUGUUCGGAAUUACUGGGCGUAAAGCGCGCGUAGGCGGACAUCUAAGUCAGGGGUGAAAUCCCAGGGCUCAACCCUGGAACUGCCUUUGAUACUGGACGUCUGGAGUUCGGGAGAGGUGAGUGGAAUUCCGAGUGUAGAGGUGAAAUGCGUAGAGAUCGGGAAGAACAUCGGUGGCGAAGGCGGCCUGCUGGGCUGUUGCUGACGCUGAGGCGCGACAGCGUGGGGAGCAAACAGG